GACGUAGGGCGCAAGCGUUGUCCGGAAUUAUUGGGCGUAAAGAGCUCGUAGGCGGUUUGUCGCGUCGGCUGUGAAAACCCGGGGCUCAACCCCGGGCCUGCAGUCGAUACGGGCAAACUAGAGUGUGGUAGGGGAGACUGGAAUUCCUGGUGUAGCGGUGAAAUGCGCAGAUAUCAGGAGGAACACCGGUGGCGAAGGCGGGUCUCUGGGCCAUAACUGACGCUGAGGAGCGAAAGCGUGGGGAGCGAACAGG
Molecule: ribosomal RNA, 253 nt
Filed under: uncultured bacterium
Lineage: Bacteria
Description: partial 16S ribosomal RNA
Rfam family: Bacterial small subunit ribosomal RNA
Source: RNAcentral